GCAAGGGGAGUGGCGCACGGGUGAGUAACACGNUGGGAACCUACCUUCUGGUACGGAACAACCAAGGGAAACUUUGGCUAAUACCGUAUACGACCUCCGGGUGAAAGAUUUAUCGCCGGAAGAGGGGCCCGCGUCCGAUUAGGUAGUUGGUGGGGUAACGGCCUACCAAGCCGACGAUCGGUAGCUGGUCUGAGAGGAUGACCAGCCACACUGGGACUGAGACACGGCCCAGACUCCUACGGGAGGCAGCAGUGGGGAAUAUUGGACAAUGGGCGCAAGCCUGAUCCAGCCAUGCCGCGUGAGUGAUGAAGGCCUUCGGGUUGUAAAGCUCUUUCACCCACGACGAUGAUGACGGUAGUGGGAGAAGAAGCCCCGGCUAACUUCGUGCCAGCAGCCGCGGUAAUACGAAGGGGGCAAGCGUUGUUCGGAAUGACUGGGCGUAAAGGGCGCGUAGGCGGUUCGUUGCGUCAGAUGUGAAAGCCCCGGGCUCAACCUGGGAACUGCAUUUGAUACGGGCGGGCUUGAAUCCAAGAGAGGGUGGUGGAAUUCC
This 550-nucleotide ribosomal RNA is filed under the name Inquilinus limosus. Its description in RNAcentral is "bacterial SSU rRNA". It matches the Rfam family "Bacterial small subunit ribosomal RNA", at positions 86 to 670 of the family's 1533-position model. Lineage: Bacteria; Pseudomonadati; Pseudomonadota; Alphaproteobacteria; Rhodospirillales; Rhodospirillaceae. The record is from RNAcentral.